UGGGGAAUUUUGGACAAUGGGCGAAAGCCUGAUCCAGCAAUGCCGCGUGUGUGAAGAAGGCCUUCGGGUUGUAAAGCACUUUUGUCCGGAAAGAAAUCCUUGGCUCUAAUACAGUCGGGGGAUGACGGUACCGGAAGAAUAAGCACCGGCUAACUACGUGCCAGCAGCCGCGGUAAUACGUAGGGUGCAAGCGUUAAUCGGAAUUACUGGGCGUAAAGCGUGCGCAGGCGGUUUGCUAAGACCGAUGUGAAAUCCCCGGGCUCAACCUGGGAACUGCAUUGGUGACUGGCAGGCUAGAGUAUGGCAGAGGGGGGUAGAAUUCCACGUGUAGCAGUGAAAUGCGUAGAGAUGUGGAGGAAUACCGAUGGCGAAGGCAGCCCCCUGGGCCAAAUACUGACGCUCAUGCACGAAAAGGCGUGGGGGAGCAAAACAGGAUUAGAUACCCCUGGUAGUCCACGCCCUAAAAUCGAUGUCAACUAGUUGUUGGGGAUUCAUUUCCUUAGUAACGUA
This 510-nucleotide ribosomal RNA is filed under the name uncultured bacterium. Its description in RNAcentral is "partial 16S ribosomal RNA". It matches the Rfam family "Bacterial small subunit ribosomal RNA", at positions 355 to 850 of the family's 1533-position model. The record is from RNAcentral.